This 253-nucleotide ribosomal RNA is filed under the name uncultured bacterium. Its description in RNAcentral is "partial 16S ribosomal RNA". It matches the Rfam family "Bacterial small subunit ribosomal RNA", at positions 524 to 776 of the family's 1533-position model. The record is from RNAcentral.
UACAGAGGGGGCAAGCGUUGCUCGGAAUUACUGGGCGUAAAGGGCGCGUAGGCGGCCUUCUAAGUCGAACGUGAAAUCCCCGGGCUCAACCCGGGAACUGCGUCCGAUACUGGAAGGCUUGAAUCCGGGAGAGGGAUGUGGAAUUCCAGGUGUAGCGGUGAAAUGCGUAGAUAUCUGGAGGAACACCGGUGGCGAAGGCGACAUCCUGGACCGGUAUUGACGCUGAGGCGCGAAAGCCAGGGGGGCAAACGGG